RNAcentral lists this ribosomal RNA (484 nucleotides) under uncultured bacterium. Its description in RNAcentral is "partial 16S ribosomal RNA". It matches the Rfam family "Bacterial small subunit ribosomal RNA", at positions 30 to 507 of the family's 1533-position model. The record is from RNAcentral.
AUUGAACGCUGGCGGCAGGCCUAACACAUGCAAGUCGAGCGGAUGAAGGGAGCUUGCUCCUGGAUUCAGCGGCGGACGGGUGAGUAAUGCCUAGGAAUCUGCCUGGUAGUGGGGGAUAACGUCCGGAAACGGGCGCUAAUACCGCAUACGUCCUGAGGGAGAAAGUGGGGGAUCUUUGGACCUCACGCUAUCAGAUGAGCCUAGGUCGGAUUAGCUAGUUGGUGGGGUAAAGGCCUACCGAGGCGACGAUCCGCAACUGAUCUGAGAGGAUGAUCGGUCACACUGGAACUGAGACACGGUCCAGGCUCCUACGGGAGGCAGCAGUGGGGAAUAUUGGACAAUGGGCGAGAGCCUGAUCCAGCCAUGCCGCGUGUGUGAAGAAGGUCUUCGGAUUGGGAAGCACUUUAAGUUGGGAGGAAGGGCAGUAAGUUAAUACCUUGCUGUUUUGACGUUACCAACAGAAUAAGCACCGGCUAACUUCGUG